CAGUCGCCACGGUAAUACGUAGGGUGCAAGCGUUAUCCGGAAUUAUUGGGCGUAAAGAGCUCGUAGGCGGUUUGUCGCGUCUGCUGUGAAAACUGGAGGCUCAACCUCCAGCCUGCAGUGGGUACGGGCAGACUAGAGUGCGGUAGGGGAGAUUGGAAUUCCUGGUGUAGCGGUGGAAUGCGCAGAUAUCAGGAGGAACACCGAUGGCGAAGGCAGAUCUCUGGGCCGUAACUGACGCUGAGGAGCGAAAGCAUGGGGAGCGAACAGGAUUAGAUACCCGCGUAGUCCCUGUCUCUUAUAC
Molecule: ribosomal RNA, 301 nt
Filed under: uncultured bacterium
Lineage: Bacteria
Description: partial 16S ribosomal RNA
Rfam family: Bacterial small subunit ribosomal RNA
Source: RNAcentral